GGCCAGACUCCUACGGGAGGCAGCAGUGAGGAAUAUUGGUCAAUGGGCGAGAGCCUGAACCAGCCAAGUCGCGUGAGGGAAGACGGCCCUACGGGUUGUAAACCUCUUUUGUCGGGGAGCAAAGCGAACCACGUGUGGUUCAUUGAGAGUACCCGAAGAAAAAGCAUCGGCUAACUCCGUGCCAGCAGCCGCGGUAAUACGGAGGAUGCGAGCGUUAUCCGGAUUUAUUGGGUUUAAAGGGUGCGCAGGCGGAUUUUUAAGUCAGCGGUCAAAUCGUGGGGCUCAACCCCAUCCAGCCGUUGAAACUGGGGAUCUAGAGUGUGCGAGAGGUAUGCGGAAUGCGUGGUGUAGCGGUGAAAUGCAUAGAUAUCACGCAGAACCCCGAUUGCGAAGGCAGCAUACCGGUGCACAACUGACGCUCAGGCACGAAAGCGUGGGUAUCGAACAGGAUUAGAUACCCGUGUA
This 465-nucleotide ribosomal RNA is filed under the name uncultured bacterium. RNAcentral describes it as "bacterial SSU rRNA". It matches the Rfam family "Bacterial small subunit ribosomal RNA", at positions 329 to 792 of the family's 1533-position model. The record is from RNAcentral.